AAAAGUUACAAAGGGCAUAUGGUGGAUGCCUUGGCACUAAUAGGCGAUGAAGGACGUGGCUACCUGCGAUAAGCCUCGGUAAGACGGUAACAGUCUUUGACCCGGGGAUCUCCGAAUUGGGCAACCAAUCUCAAGUAAUAUUGAGAUAUAUUAUACUGAAAGAGCAAUCAUAGGUAUAAUAAGCGAACGAAGGGAACUGAAACAUCUAAGUACCUUUUGGAAAAGAAAACAACCGUGAUUUCCUUAGUAGCGGCGAGCGAAACGGAAACAGCCUAAACCGUGUAGUAUGUGAUAGCCUGCAAGCGUUGUACUACCGGUGUUGUGGGGUGAAUAGGCAGAAUUGCAGUAUGUCAAAGAGAAAAAAGAUUAGGGUUAAUCGAAUGACUUGGAACAGUCAACCGCAGAAGGUGAAAGUCCUGUAGAUGAAAAUUUUAAUCACUCUUGUUUAUACCCCAAGUACCGCGGAGCACGUGGAAUUCUGCGGGAAUCUGCCAGAACCAUCUGGUAAGGCUAAAUACUCAUUAGUGACCGAUAGUGAACAAGUACCGUGAGGGAAAGGUGAAAAGUACUCCUGACAGGAGGGUGAAAUAGAACCUGAAACCAUAUGCCUACAAACGGUAGUAGUCUUGUAGAACAGCUUGCUGUUUUAUUUAGAUGACUGCGUGCCUUUUGCUUAAUGAGCCAACGAGUUACUCGUAUGUAGCAGCGUAAGUUUUUAAGAAACGAACGCACAGCGAAAGCAAGUCCGAACAGGGCGUUAAGUUACAUGCGGUAGACGCGAAACCGUGUGAUCUAUUCUUGACCAGGAUGAAAUAUCGGUAAAACGAUAUGGAGGUCCGAACCAGUGUGGGUUGAAAACCGCUUGGAUGAGUUGAGAAUAGGAGCGAAAGACCAAUCAAACUCGGAAAUAGCUCGUACUCCCCGAAAUAGCUUUAGGGCUAGCCUCGGAAUAGUAUUUUGAAGGUAGAGCACUAAUUGGGCUAGGGCCGCCACAGCGGUACCAAACCCAAAUAAACUCCGAAUAUCAAAAAUAUGUUUUCCGGGAGUCAGGCAGUGGGGGAUAAGCUUCAUUGCCGAGAGGGAAAUAACCCAGACCACCAAUUAAGGUCCCCAAGUUUAUGUUAACAGACUAAGGAUGUUAAGUUGCUUAGACAACUAGGAUGUUGGCUUAGAAGCAGCCACUCAUUUAAAGAGUGCGUAAUAGCUCACUAGUCGAGCGACUUAGCGCCGAUAAUACUCGGGACUAAACAUAACACCGAAAUUGUGGACUCCGUAAGGAGUGGUAGGGGAGCAUUCUAUUUGCGACUGCGGUGAACGCAGGUGCUUCGGCAUGAAGGUGCCCGGUGACGGGUGUUGGAGCGAAUAGAAAAGAAAAUGUUGGCAUAAGUAACGAUAAUGCAUAUGAAAAAUAUGCACACCGAAAAUCCAAGGUUUCCUGAGCAAUGUUAAUCAUCUCAGGGUUAGUCGGCCCCUAAGCUGAGGCCAAACGGCGUAAGUAAUGGGAAACAGGUUAAAUAUUCCUGUACCUUCGACAUUUAAACUAAAGUGACGCAAGAGUGAAAGGAGAGCCACCUGAUGGAUGGUGGUCUAAGGUCGUAGUUGUGAGCAAUCAUGAUGAAAGCUGAACGGGAUGGCGCAAGCCUACAAACUCUCCCUAAUCAAGUUGCCAAGAAAAGCUUUAGUGUAUACUAAGAAGACCGUACCGCAAACCGACACAGGUAGAUGAGGAGAGUAUCCUAAGGUGCUCGAGUGAGCCGUAGUCAAGGAACUCGGCAAAUUAACCCCGUAACUUCGGGAUAAGGGGUGUCCAGAUUAUAUCUGGAUCGCAGAGAAAUGGGCCAAGCGACUGUUUAACAAAAACACAUGUCUAUGCAAAGCCUUUAAGGCGAAGUAUAUGGACUGACACCUGCCCGGUGCUGGAAGGUUAAGAGGAGAGGUUAGUCCUUUAGGGCGAAGCUUUGAAUCGAAGCCCCAGUAAACGGCGGCCGUAACUAUAACGGUCCUAAGGUAGCGAAAUUCCUUGUCGGGUA
Molecule: ribosomal RNA, 2030 nt
Filed under: bioreactor sludge metagenome
Description: bacterial LSU rRNA
Rfam family: Bacterial large subunit ribosomal RNA
Source: RNAcentral